GGUUAUUUAACUAAAGAGUAAUGAUCCUAUGAGACCCUCCCACACCCAUGUGUAUAGGACCCCAAAGGAUCACCAUUAAAUUUGGCACAGAUCUCUAGAAAAGUCAAAUCUUACACCCAUGUGAUAAUUUUUCUAGAGAUCUGUGCCAAAUUUAAUAGUGAUCCUUUGGGAUCCUACACACAUGGGUGUGGACGGGUCUCAUAGGAUCAUUACUCUUAACUAAAAACAUAAAGCUAGCC
This 239-nucleotide microRNA precursor is filed under the name Amborella trichopoda. RNAcentral describes it as "miR8565d stem-loop (atr-MIR8565d)". The stretch from base 39 to 192 matches the Rfam family "MIR8565 microRNA precursor family". Lineage: Eukaryota; Viridiplantae; Streptophyta; Magnoliopsida; Amborellales; Amborellaceae. The record is from miRBase by way of RNAcentral.